This 288-nucleotide ribosomal RNA is filed under the name uncultured bacterium. RNAcentral describes it as "partial 16S ribosomal RNA". It matches the Rfam family "Bacterial small subunit ribosomal RNA", at positions 195 to 507 of the family's 1533-position model. The record is from RNAcentral.
UUCGGACCAAAGAUUUAUCGCCUUUAGAUGGGCCCGCGUUGGAUUAGCUAGUUGUGGGUAAAGGCCUACCAAGGCGACGAUCCAUAGCUGGUCUGAGAGGAUGAUCAGCCACACUGGGACUGAGACACGGCCCAGACUCCUACGGGAGGCAGCAGUGGGAAUAUUGGACAAUGGGCGAAAGCCUGAUCCAGCAAUGCCGCGUGAGUGAUGAAGGCCUUAGGGUUGUAAAGCUCUUUACCCGAGAUGAUAAUGACAGUAUCGGGAGAAUAAGCUCCGGCUAACUCCGUG